UACGUAGGGGGCUAGCGUUGUCCGGAAUCAUUGGGCGUAAAGCGCGUGUAGGCGGCCCGGUAAGUCCGCUGUGAAAGUCGAGGGCUCAACCCUCGAAAGCCGGUGGAUACUGUCGGGCUCGAGUGCGGGAGAGGCGAGUGGAAUUCCUGGUGUAGCGGUGAAAUGCGCAGAUAUCAGGAGGAACACCGAUUGCGAAGGCAGCUCGCUGGAACGUAACUGACGCUGAGACGCGAAAGCGUGGGGAGCAAACAGG
Molecule: ribosomal RNA, 253 nt
Filed under: uncultured bacterium
Lineage: Bacteria
Description: partial 16S ribosomal RNA
Rfam family: Bacterial small subunit ribosomal RNA
Source: RNAcentral